Molecule: ribosomal RNA, 503 nt
Filed under: uncultured bacterium
Lineage: Bacteria
Description: bacterial SSU rRNA
Rfam family: Bacterial small subunit ribosomal RNA
Source: RNAcentral
AACGAACGCUGGCGGCGCGCCUAACACAUGCAAGUCGAACGAGAAGCUGUAGCAAUACAGUUGUACAGUGGCGAACGGGUGAGGAAUACAUGGGUGACCUACCCUCGAGUGGGGAAUAACCAGCCGAAAGGUUGGCUAAUACCGCGUACGUUUCCCAGUUUACGGAUUGGGAAGGAAAGCGAUGCCGUGGGUAUCGCGCUCAAGGUUGGGCUCAUGUCCUAUCAGCUUGCUGGNGAGGUAACGGCUCACCAAGGCAACGACGGGUAGCUGGUCUGAGAGGACGAUCAGCCACACUGGCACUGCGACACGGGCCAGACUCCUACGGGAGGCAGCAGUAAGGAAUAUUGCGCAAUGGGCGAAAGCCUGACGCAGCGACGCCGCGUGGGGGAUGAAGGUCUUCGGAUUGUAAACCCCCUUUCGGGAGGGAAGAUGGAAUGGGGUAACCCAUUCGGACGGUACCUCCAGAAGCAGCCGACGGCUAACUUCGUGCCAGCAGCCGCAGU